Molecule: ribosomal RNA, 497 nt
Filed under: uncultured bacterium
Lineage: Bacteria
Description: partial 16S ribosomal RNA
Rfam family: Bacterial small subunit ribosomal RNA
Source: RNAcentral
GAUGAACGCUGGCGGCGUGCCUAAUACAUGCGAGUCGAGCGAACGGACGAGAAGCUUGCUUCUCUGAUGUUAGCGGCGGACGGGUGAGUAACACGUGGAUAACCUACCUAUAAGACUGGGAUAACUUCGGGAAACCGGAGCUAAUACCGGAUAAUAUUUUGAACCGCAUGGUUCAAAAGUGAAAGACGGUCUUGCUGUCACUUAUAGAUGGAUCCGCGCUGCAUUAGCUAGUUGGUAAGGUAACGGCUUACCAAGGCAACGAUGCAUAGCCGACCUGAGAGGGUGAUCGGCCACACUGGAACUGAGACACGGUCCAGACUCCUACGGGAGGCAGCAGUAGGGAAUCUUCCGCAAUGGGCGAAAGCCUGACGGAGCAACGCCGCGUGAGUGAUGAAGGUCUUCGGAUCGUAAAACUCUGUUAUUAGGGAAGAACAUAUGUGUAAGUAACUGUGCACAUCUUGACGGUACCUAAUCAGAAAGCCGCGGCUAACUACGUG